UACGGGGGGGGCAAGCGUUGUUCGGAAUUACUGGGCGUAAAGGGCUCGUAGGCGGCCAACUAAGUCGGACGUGAAAUCCCUCGGCUCAACCGGGGAACUGCGUCCGAUACUGGAUGGCUCGAGUCCGGGAGAGGGAUGCGGAAUUCCAGGUGUAGCGGUGAAAUGCGUAGAUAUCAAGAGGAACACCUGCGGCGAAGGCGGGUUGCUGGGCCGACACUGACGCUGAGGCGCGAAAGCCAGGGGAGCGAACGGG
This 253-nucleotide ribosomal RNA is filed under the name uncultured bacterium. Its description in RNAcentral is "partial 16S ribosomal RNA". It matches the Rfam family "Bacterial small subunit ribosomal RNA", at positions 524 to 776 of the family's 1533-position model. The record is from RNAcentral.